UGGGGAAUUUUCCGCAAUGGGCGAAAGCCUGACGGAGCAAUACCGCGUGAGGGAAGACGGCCUAUGGGUUGUAAACCUCUUUUUUCAGGGAGGAAGAUAUGACGUGUACCUGAAGAAUAAGCAUCGGCUAACUCCGUGCCAGCAGCCGCGGUAAGACGGAGGAUGCAAGUGUUAUCCGGAAUCACUGGGCGUAAAGCGUCUGUAGGUGGUUUAAUAAGUCGGCUGUUAAAUCUUGAGGCUUAACUUCAAAACUGCAGUUGAAACUAUUAAACUAGAGUAUAGUAGGGGUAAAGGGAAUUUCCAGUGGAGCGGUGAAAUGCGUAGAUAUUGGAAAGAACACCGAUGGCGAAGGCACUUUACUGGGCUAUUACUGACACUCAGAGACGAAAGCUAGGGUAGCAAAUGGGAUUAGAUACCCCAGUAGUCCUAGCCGUAAACAAUGGAUACUAGAUGUUGAACAGAUYCGACCUGUGCAGUAUUAAAGCUAACGCGUUAAGUAUCCCGCCUGGGAAGUAUGCUCGCAAGAGUG
This 529-nucleotide ribosomal RNA is filed under the name Coscinodiscus sp. JD 2001. RNAcentral describes it as "bacterial SSU rRNA". It matches the Rfam family "Bacterial small subunit ribosomal RNA", at positions 355 to 896 of the family's 1533-position model. Lineage: Eukaryota; Bacillariophyta; Coscinodiscophyceae; Coscinodiscales; Coscinodiscaceae. The record is from RNAcentral.